RNAcentral lists this transfer RNA (75 nucleotides) under Candidatus Poribacteria bacterium. Its description in RNAcentral is "tRNA-Pro". It matches the Rfam family "tRNA". Rfam says of the family: Transfer RNA (tRNA) molecules are approximately 80 nucleotides in length. Their secondary structure includes four short double-helical elements and three loops (D, anti-codon, and T loops). Further hydrogen bonds mediate the characteristic L-shaped molecular structure. tRNAs have two regions of fundamental functional importance: the anti-codon, which is responsible for specific mRNA codon recognition, and the 3' end, to which the tRNAs corresponding amino acid is attached (by aminoacyl-tRNA synthetases). tRNAs cope with the degeneracy of the genetic code in two manners: having more than one tRNA (with a specific anti-codon) for a particular amino acid; and 'wobble' base-pairing, i.e. permitting non-standard base-pairing at the 3rd anti-codon position. The record is from RNAcentral. Lineage: Bacteria; Candidatus Poribacteria.
CGGGGCGUAGCGCAGUCCGGUUAGCGUGUCUGCUUUGGGAGCAGAAGGUCGGAGGUUCAAAUCCUCUCGCCCCGA